AUUGAACGCUGGCGGCAUGCCUUACACAUGCAAGUCGAACGGUAACAGGUCUUCGGAUGCUGACGAGUGGCGAACGGGUGAGUAAUACAUCGGAACGUGCCCGAUCGUGGGGGAUAACGGAGCGAAAGCUUUGCUAAUACCGCAUACGAUCUACGGAUGAAAGCAGGGGACCGCAAGGCCUUGCGCGGACGGAGCGGCCGAUGGCAGAUUAGGUAGUUGGUGGGAUAAAAGCUUACCAAGCCGACGAUCUGUAGCUGGUCUGAGAGGGCGACCAGCCACGCUGGGACUGGGACACGGCCCAGACUCCUACGGGAGGCAGCAGUGGGGAAUUUUGGACAAUGGGCGAAAGCCUGAUCCAGCCAUGCCGCGUGCAGGAUGAAGGCCUUCGGGUUGUAAACUGCUUUUGUACGGAACGAAAAGGCUCUUUCUAAUAAAGAGGGUUCAUGACGGUACCGUAAGAAUAAGCACCGGCUAACUACGUGCCAGCCGCCGCAGUAA
Molecule: ribosomal RNA, 498 nt
Filed under: uncultured bacterium
Lineage: Bacteria
Description: partial 16S ribosomal RNA
Rfam family: Bacterial small subunit ribosomal RNA
Source: RNAcentral